RNAcentral lists this transfer RNA (85 nucleotides) under Echinostoma caproni. It matches the Rfam family "tRNA". Rfam says of the family: Transfer RNA (tRNA) molecules are approximately 80 nucleotides in length. Their secondary structure includes four short double-helical elements and three loops (D, anti-codon, and T loops). Further hydrogen bonds mediate the characteristic L-shaped molecular structure. tRNAs have two regions of fundamental functional importance: the anti-codon, which is responsible for specific mRNA codon recognition, and the 3' end, to which the tRNAs corresponding amino acid is attached (by aminoacyl-tRNA synthetases). tRNAs cope with the degeneracy of the genetic code in two manners: having more than one tRNA (with a specific anti-codon) for a particular amino acid; and 'wobble' base-pairing, i.e. permitting non-standard base-pairing at the 3rd anti-codon position. Lineage: Eukaryota; Metazoa; Platyhelminthes; Trematoda; Plagiorchiida; Echinostomatidae. The record is from Rfam by way of RNAcentral.
GGUCUUGUAGCUCAGCUGGUAGAACGCGCGCUGUACGAAAAGCUCAGGCGGCGUCCGUGCGUGGGUUCGAAUCCCGCCGAGGCUA